GUCUACGGCCAUACCACCUUGAACACACCCGAUCUUGUCUGAUCUUGGAAGCUAAGCAGGGUUGGGCCUGGUUAGUACUUGGAUGGGGGAAAACUCAUUUCUUAAAAA
Molecule: ribosomal RNA, 108 nt
Organism: Prolemur simus (greater bamboo lemur)
Lineage: Eukaryota; Metazoa; Chordata; Mammalia; Primates; Lemuridae
Source: Ensembl